CAGCAGCCGCGGGAAUACGUAGGUGGCAAGCGUUGUCCGGAAUUAUUGGGCGUAAAGGGCUCGCAGGCGGUUUCUUAAGUCUGAUGUGAAAGCCCCCGGCUCAACCGGGGAGGGUCAUUGGAAACUGGGAAACUUGAGUGCAGGAGAGAAAAGUGGAAUUCCUAGUGUAGCGGUGAAAUGCGUAGAGAUUAGGAGGAACACCAGUGGCGAAGGCGGCUUUUUGGCCUGUAACUGACACUGAGGCGCGAAAGCGUGGGGAGCAAACAGGAUUAGAUACCCCCGUAGUCCCUGUCUCUUAUAC
Molecule: ribosomal RNA, 301 nt
Filed under: uncultured bacterium
Lineage: Bacteria
Description: partial 16S ribosomal RNA
Rfam family: Bacterial small subunit ribosomal RNA
Source: RNAcentral